GGACCAAGGAGUCUAGCAUGUGCGCGAGUCAUUGGGAAUCACUAAACCUAAAGGCGCAAUGAAAGUGAAGGUCCGCCUUGCGCGGACCGAGGGAGGAUGGGCCGCGUCACGAUGCGGCCCCGCACUCCCGGGGCGUCUCGUUCUCAUCGCGAGAAGAGGCGCACCCAGAGCGUACACGCUGGGACCCGAAAGAUGGUGAACUAUGCCUGGUCAGGACGAAGUCAGGGGAAACCCUGAUGGAGGUCCGUAGCGAUUCUGACGUGCAAAUCGAUCGUCGGAACUGGGUAUAGGGGCGAAAGACUAAUCGAACCAUCUAGUAGCUGGUUCCCUCCGAAGUUUCCCUCAGGAUAGCUGGCGCUCGCGUAGCGAGUCUCAUCCGGUAAAGCGAAUGAUUAGAGGCAUUGGGGUCGAAACGGCCUCAACCUAUUCUCAAACUUUAAAUGGGUGAGAUCUCCGGCUUGCUCGAACGUGAAGCCGUGAGAUUUUCUCAAAGGAUCAGAGUGCCAAGUGGGCCACUUUUGGUAAGCAGAACUGGCGCUGUGGGAUGAACCAAACGCAGAGUUAAAGCGCCUAAAUUGACGCUUAUGGGAUACCAUGAAAGGCGUU
This 606-nucleotide ribosomal RNA is filed under the name Hydrophilidae sp. 3 MTM-2009. Its description in RNAcentral is "eukaryotic LSU rRNA". It matches the Rfam family "Eukaryotic large subunit ribosomal RNA", at positions 663 to 1225 of the family's 3401-position model. The record is from RNAcentral. Lineage: Eukaryota; Metazoa; Arthropoda; Insecta; Coleoptera; Hydrophilidae.